AGGCGGGUGGCAGCCGAGGGAGGCCUGUUCCUGCCCCGCCUGCUGCAGGGCGGAGCUGAGCUCAGCAGGCCUGGAAGAGGCUUCUGGGGAAGCCCUGGGGGAGGCAGCUGGAGGGAGAGACAGUGAGGAAGCCGCGCCUGCUUCUCAGCCCGGGGCUGUACCAGACGAGGUGAUCUUCCUUAAUGAGGACGCGAUUCUCGAGUAGGAAAAGAGGAUCACGACGAGGGGCAGGACACCCAGCAGAGCCGUCAUAAAGUAAAUCAGCGCGUCGUUCAGGCCGGUGUCUGCGCAGGCGAGCCUGAGGAUGUGCGUCAGCUCACAGAAGAAAUGAGGCACUUCGAGGGCGCCACAGAAGUCCAGGGGCAUCAUCAGAGAGAGGUGAAGGAAGGAGGUCAUGAUGCCCACGAGCCAGGUAACAAAGACCAGGAGGCCACAGACGCGGGGGUUCAUGAUGACCAUGUAGUGCAGGGGGCGGCAGAUGGCCAUGAACCGGUCAUAGGCCAUGAUGGUCAGGAGCAGCGUGUCCAGGACAGGGAAAAACAUGGAAAAAUAGACCUGCGUGAGGCAGCCCCUGCGGGAGAUGGCUUUGUUCUCCGCGUGGAUGCUCGCCAGCAUCUGGGGGACUAUGGUGGUGCUAAAGCAGAUGUCCACAAAGGACAGGUUGGACAGGAAGAAGUACAUGGGGGUGUGCAGGUGGGGGUCGGAGCUGAUGGCCAGGAUGAUGAGCAGGUUCCCAAGCACAGUGACCAGGUACAUAGCCAGGAACAGCCCAAAUAGGAGGGGCUGCAGUUCUGCGUCCCCAGAGAACCCGAGGAGGAUGAAUCCUAAAAGUCUGCUUUGGUUUCGAGCGUCCAUGGAGCUGCCGUACCUGUGAAGGAAGAGAGGACCCAGCGUGAGCUGUCAGGGAACCGGCUCCAUCCCGCCAGCGAGAGAGCUGGCCGAGCUCGCCCUGCGGGUUGUCUGGGAAGUUAGCCAUUUGGUCUAAGAGUCGGUUCUCCUUUCAGUCAUAAGUUAAAUCCUAAAAAAAGUGAAUUAUCUUAUCCCAACCCCCAAUUGUAAGAACUGAUUUUACGACAAAAUCAAAAUGCAAUUCCACACAACGGAGCUCUAGCAUCCGGGCUGCCUGCCUAAAGCGCCCACCCAUCUCCUGACAGCCCUGUGGAGUGUUCUGGGAGCCUAUAAAUGGGGCAGAUCCGCAUGCUGUGCCCCGGCUGGGGGCGUGAAGAAGGACGGAACUUCCCUGCUGAGGGAGGCCUUCAAAAGAUGCAGGACUUCCACGCGGCCGCCAGGGGACACCAGAACGGCGCAAAUGGAAGGACGUUGUGUUGCCACAGCCCUGGGCCCUGAGAAACGCCAGCGCCGGUUAAUGAGAGUGUUCCAGAUGAAACCAGGCCAAAGAGACGAGUCAACCGAAGGUGUUACAGAGCAUGGUGAGGGCACCCCAGAACCCCCACACCCGCCUCUUCUAAAUAGGUUCUGCCAUCCACCUCAUCAAGACAAAACUCUAGCAGUGUUUCAGGUUGCUUUCCUGAGCCGCCUCACGUCGUGCUGUCUCUACCCUCUCCAGACACAACUGCUCCACCACUUGCCUUCUGUGAUUUGGCCAAUGACGGCUCUCACCUUUGGAGAUGUUGGCCUUUACUUGUGAAAUGGUCAGGCCUGUUGUGCACGUUUCCAUUACAUUAUAUUUCACAGACAUUUUACACACUUACCUUUAUUCCUUCUGAAAAAAAUCUAUCUUAGCAUGAAUGUUAAAUACAAAAACAAAAACAAAAAGUGUCGAGGAAACAAAGGACUCAGCAGCAAUCCCUCGGAUUUAGUUGCUGUCACUUUGUUUAUCCCCUCAGUGUGUUUAAGAAACGCAAACAAUGUCAGUCCCUGGUUAUCAGUGUCACACAGUAACAUGUUCUGUUGAUAAGAAAAUUGUGUAUUCUGUUACUUUUAAUGUCUGUGGACCUGUGCCUGUGCGUGUCUGUGGGUAAGAGGCCAAUGUUGUUGACCUCUCUGUGUUCUCCUUGGCGUGUUCCCAUUAUUUUCUCCAUUACAGGACGAGCCAGGAGCAGAAAGCAUUUGCUUGGCAUCUAAGUCAUGCCUCGGGCGUUUACAAACACUGAUUUGUUCUCCUUUAGCCUCUCCCAGAAAGCAUUUGCCUUCAGUCUCCAGGCCAGUCGGAGGGAGAACAGACAACAUUUAUGCUCAUCAAGCGUUUCUUCCUUUAUGCAUUUCUCAUUUGAUGAUUGGGGAAAGGAAGAUCGAUUUAAUUGCUCCAUGUCCUUCGUGUCUACCCCGUAAUCAUUUAACCAUGGUGGGGGGGUUUCAUUUCCAGUGUUUCCAGCCAGUGUUACUGUGAAGAAAGGGCUGGUGAACAUUUUCACACGUCAAGAUUUUUAUGUUUCAAAGCAUUUCCUUAGGUCAUCUCCCAAAAACAGAACCGCUCUUUCUAUUUAGAGAAAAUAAAAACAUUUUGAAUUCUGAAGGGUGGUAGGAACGAUUUUCUCGGGAGCGGGU
Molecule: long non-coding RNA, 2508 nt
Organism: Talpa occidentalis (Iberian mole)
Lineage: Eukaryota; Metazoa; Chordata; Mammalia; Eulipotyphla; Talpidae
Exons: 4
Source: RefSeq, a predicted model, not a curated record